GGGCUUUAGUGAAAUCACUUGGUGGGAAAAGAGGUUCACAUUGUUUACGGUCUAGUUGCAUCAAGGUAACUAUUGUCGUCCACAGCCUAGAGCUGCAAGCGUUUCAAGAGUCCUGUCUCCGUGCACACAAUGCCUACAGAAGUGACCACGGGUGUCCGGAGUUGACCUGGUCAGUUGACCUGGCCAAACAAGCACAGGAGUGGGCGGACAGGGUGGCAGAGAAAAAAUAUCUCCAGUACAGCGAAAACCCGAAUGUGGGGGAAAGCAUAUUUUUGGUGGAUUCUGAGGACCAGCUGACUGGAGAGGCUGUAACAGAACACUGGUACGCAGAAGGAUACGGAUAUGAUUACAAAAACCCGAGGUGGAGAAAAGAUAGCAAGCGGUUCAGUCAGUUAAUAUGGCGGAACAGUCACGAGGUUGGAGUGGGCGUGGCACAUAUUCCGGGAACAGGAAAACACGUGGUGGUGGCUAACUACAAGCCUCCUGGCAACGGAAACUUUCCCGGAGAAUAUAGGAAAAAUGUUCCGCCGCCGCUACAUGCUAAGGAUAUUCCCAUUGAAGACUGAAAUAUUGGAUGUGUUAUCCUUUUGUUGGGAAUUUCUCAUAAUGCAGUGAGCAUGAAAACACU
Molecule: unclassified non-coding RNA, 628 nt
Filed under: Lingula anatina
Lineage: Eukaryota; Metazoa; Brachiopoda; Lingulata; Lingulida; Lingulidae
Description: ectin-like, transcript variant X1
Source: RNAcentral